GGGGGCGGGGCCGGUAACUUGCCAGUAAGGCAAGGGACGCUACCUGUUAGUUGGUGUCUACAGAACAGACCCGUUUUUCUACGGUGAUCAGUUGAAGAAUAUCGUCAUCUGUUGAAAUGAACCAGUGCCCUUGACUUCUUAGAAGAGGUGAAGGGAAAUGAUCACAAAUCACGUUACUUUUCAGUGUAUCACCUGACUUCAUGAAAUGUUGACAGAUAGCCAAGACAUAGUGAUUCAACAGUUGGAAUACAAUAAAAUGAUUACAUGUCAUCCCGAGAAAGAUCUGUAAGAAAGAAGAGGAAGAGAAGAAAGGCGAGGGUGUAUGGAUUUUUUAUGUUGAUUACAACAAGGCCUUCCAUGAGCAGCAGAAUAUCUCAUUAAAAAAACCCCUGGGGCUUCCCUGGUGGCGCAUCGGUUGAGAGUCCGCCUGCCGAUGCAGGGGACACGGGUUCGUGCCCCGG
Molecule: non-coding RNA, 461 nt
Organism: Kogia breviceps (pygmy sperm whale)
Lineage: Eukaryota; Metazoa; Chordata; Mammalia; Artiodactyla; Physeteridae
Source: RefSeq, a predicted model, not a curated record